CCUAAUGUUCAAUGCUUCUCCUCACCACCCCAUAUAAUUUGGACUAAGGCUUCUAUUUUCAGCCAAAAGUUUCUAUGUGCACACAUCUGAAGAGACAGCUGAAAUGAGAGGGUUAAAGAUUUUAUUCGGCAUCACAGGAGAAGCUUUCAAGAAGUGAAAAAAAGAAAUGAAAACACAUGCAGCAAGAAAAUGAGAUUAAUAAACAAACAAUGACAUCUACUAAACAAAGGCAGAACAUACAGUGAUCUGAGAUGUCAUUGCAGAAAAUGCAGCAUGUCUGCAGAAAGAACAGGACACAUGCAGGAACUGUCAGCGAUUUAACUUAAACAUGUCAAAGGGUCUAUAAAGACAUUACUGACCAUGAAAUGAGAAGAUGCAUAGGGGAUUGCCAAUCCCACACAAUAAUUGUUUGUGGUCACAGUCUAGGAACACAACCAAAAAUUUAAAUUACAACAUAAGGCCGGUGCCAAAUUCAAGAUCAUAGAACAGAUACAGAUGGACAUCAUAUUAUAUUUUUGUUGUUCUGUCAACAUUAUUGUGCAUCUGCAUUAUACUUGUACCCUAGGCCUAUACUAUAAGUUAUUCUCUGGUUUAUUACAAUGUCAUAUUUAAAAUGUUUUAAUACCUGGAAAAUUUGAAACCUAAGAAAAGUUUAAAUUACU
Molecule: long non-coding RNA, 662 nt
Organism: Bombina bombina (fire-bellied toad)
Lineage: Eukaryota; Metazoa; Chordata; Amphibia; Anura; Bombinatoridae
Exons: 5
Source: RefSeq, a predicted model, not a curated record